Maylandia zebra (zebra mbuna) is the source of this 799-nucleotide non-coding RNA. The record is from RefSeq and is a predicted model, not a curated record. NCBI's taxonomy places the organism in Eukaryota, Metazoa, Chordata, Actinopteri, Cichliformes, Cichlidae.
GGUACUUGGCCUGGAGGAUUAAAACCAUACAGAGAUGCACUGCUAAAGAGAGGCGAUUAACAUCUGGAGCACCAGGAGAUGGAUCAUCGGGUGAAGACCAGUGUGGUGGACCAACUGUCAGACGAGAGUUGCAGUUUGUUACAGAGAACGUGCUGAGUGAGGAUGAGUGCAAGGAAGCAAUCUCUCUGAUGAAACAUUCAGCUGAUGAAGACACAGUCAAGAAGAAGAUGAAGUUGACAUUUGUUUAUCGACACAACAUGGUCCUUGACCCCCUGCUGUCAAGCAACAUACUGUCUGUGUUUCCACGUUUCAAAGAUAUCAAAGGCUUGAUCGAACAGGAUUUUGUACUGAUGUUUGGUGAGGAUGUAUCAGGCAGGUUGCUGGAGAGGUGGCCAACAACAUUCAAAAGAUAGAUUAUCCAACAAGGCAGAAAGCUUCCUUCUACCAGUGACCUGGAAGAACUCUUGCUGGCAGCUGACUCUCCUGAGGAUGCCACUGAAGUUAAUGCUGACAUUGGCUGGGACAGUGACCUCUCAGCGAUUCUAUUGCUAUUACAUUUGAUUCCACCAUCUGGUCAGGGUCGGAAGAGACCAGGAAAGGUGUCAGCUUCUCAAGCAGAAAGGCAUCUUGUGGUCUUCAAGAAGACUGGAACAAAUAUCCAAGAGCACCUUGAUGCCAUCACUACCAGCACUCAACCCUACCUCCUGGCUGUUGGGGUGAAAAAGCAUGACAUCCACCAGUUCUUCAUUAUUCUUGACAAGAAUGCCAUACCAUGCAAGUCUACCUCUUCACUUGGUGC